RNAcentral lists this ribosomal RNA (943 nucleotides) under Remispora stellata. Its description in RNAcentral is "eukaryotic LSU rRNA". It matches the Rfam family "Eukaryotic large subunit ribosomal RNA", at positions 82 to 948 of the family's 3401-position model. Lineage: Eukaryota; Fungi; Ascomycota; Sordariomycetes; Microascales; Halosphaeriaceae. The record is from RNAcentral.
AGUAACGGCGAGUGAAGCGGCAACAGCUCAAAUUUGAAAUCUGGCGCUUGCGUCCGAGUUGUAAUUUGCAGAGGAUGCUUCUGGCAAAGUGCCUUCCGAGUUCCCUGGAACGGGACGCCAUAGAGGGUGAGAGCCCCGUACGGUCGGUUGCUGCGCCGCUGUGAAGCGCCUUCGACGAGUCGAGUAGUUUGGGAAUGCUGCUCUAAAUGGGAGGUAAACUCCUUCUAAAGCUAAAUAUUGGCCAGAGACCGAUAGCGCACAAGUAGAGUGAUCGAAAGAUGAAAAGCACUUUGAAAAGAGAGUCAAACAGCACGUGAAAUUGUUGAAAGGGAAGCGCUUGUGACCAGACUUGGGCUUGGUAGUUCAGCCGUCCUUCUGGGCGGUGCACUCUGCCGGUUCAGGCCAGCAUCAGUUGUCGGUUGGGGAGAAAGAUGGCGGGAACGUGGCUCUUCGGAGUGUUAUAGCCCGCCAUUAUGCCCUUCUGGCGACUGAGGAUAGCGUUCUGCACGGAUGCUGGCGUAAUGGUUAUCAGCGACCCGUCUUGAAACACGGACCAAGGAGUCAUCCUAAUAUGCGAGUGUUUGGGUGUUAAACCCCUACGCGGAAUGAAAGUAAACGGAGGUGAGAGCUUCGGCGCAUCAUCGACCGAUCCUGAUGUUUUCGGAUGGAUUUGAGUAAGAGCAUAUUGGGCUGGACCCGAAAGAAGGUAGGCAUCUCCGCCGUAAAAGGAAAAAUUUGAGAAAAUAUGCUAACGAAACGAAAUAGGUGAACUAUGCUUGGAUAGGGCAAAGCCAGAGGAAACUCUGGUGGAGGCUCGCAGCGGUUCUGACGUGCAAAUCGAUCGUCAAAUCUGAGCAUGGGGGCGAAAGUAAGUUGGACUCGGUCCCUCCAGGGCAGAAGAAUCAAUGCUAACAAAAUUACAGGACUAAUCGAACCUUCUAGU